GAUGAAGAACGUAGCGAAAUGCGAUACGUAGUGUGAAUUGCAGAAUUCAGUGAAUCAUCGAAUCUUUGAACGCACAUUGCACCUCUCGGUAUUCCGGGAGGUAUGCCUGUUCGAGCGUCAUUUGUACCCUCAAGCUCUGCUUGGUGUUGGGUGUUUGUUCCGCCUCUGUGUGUGAACUCGCCUCAAAACAAUUGGCAGCCGGCGUACUUGUUUCGGAGCGCAGCACAUUUUGCGAUCCAGAUCAACGUACAGCGGCAUCCAAGAAGCCUUAUUUAACGCUCUUGACCUCGGAUCAGGUAGGGAUACCCGCUGAACUUUAGCAUAUCAAUAAGCGGAGGA
RNAcentral lists this unclassified non-coding RNA (339 nucleotides) under soil metagenome. RNAcentral describes it as "partial contains 5.8S ribosomal RNA, internal transcribed spacer 2, and large subunit ribosomal RNA". The stretch from base 1 to 120 matches the Rfam family "5.8S ribosomal RNA", at positions 35 to 154 of the family's 154-position model. The record is from RNAcentral.